Molecule: ribosomal RNA, 186 nt
Filed under: uncultured eukaryote
Lineage: Eukaryota
Description: partial 18S ribosomal RNA
Rfam family: Eukaryotic small subunit ribosomal RNA
Source: RNAcentral
UGGUGGAGUGAUUUGUCUGGUUAAUUCCGAUAACGAACGAGGCUCUGUCCUGCUAACUAGGUUGUGUUUUCUCGGGUUGGUGUUUCUGGUGUUCCUUCUCGGGGCGCCGGCCCAAUCCACUUGUGAACACAACACUCUUCUUAGAGGGACUGGCGGCUGUUAGCCGCACGAGAUAGAGCAAUAACA